Molecule: unclassified non-coding RNA, 218 nt
Filed under: soil metagenome
Description: partial contains 5.8S ribosomal RNA, internal transcribed spacer 2, and large subunit ribosomal RNA
Source: RNAcentral
AACCUUAUGGACCUGCGGGCGUAUACCUGCGGAGGGAUCAUUACAAGUGACCCCGGUCUAACCACCGGGAUGUUCAUAACCCUUUGUUGUCCGACUCUGUUGCCUCCGGGGCGACCCUGCCUUCGGGCGGGGGCUCCGGGUGGACACUUCAAACUCUUGCGUAACUUCGCAGUCUGAGUAAACUUAAUUAAUAAAUUAAAACUUUCAACAAUGGAUCU